GUGUCAGCAGCCGCGGUAAUACGUAGGGUGCGAGCGUUAAUCGGAAUUACUGGGCGUAAAGCGUGCGCAGGCGGUUCGUUAAGUUCGAUGUGAAAGCCCCGGGCUCAACCUGGGAACUGCAUUGGAAACUGGCGAGCUUGAGUGUGGCAGAGGGGGGUGGAAUUCCGCGUGUAGCAGUGAAAUGCGUAGAGAUGCGGAGGAACACCGAUGGCGAAGGCAGCCCCCUGGGCCAACACUGACGCUCAGGCACGAAAGCGUGGGGAGCAAACAGGAUUAGAUACCCUGGUAGUCCACGCCCUAAACGAUGCUCACUAGGUGUUGGGGAAGCGAUUCCUUGGUACCGUAGCUAACGCGUGAAGUGAGCCGCCUGGGGAGUACGGCCGCAAGGUUAAAACUUAAAUGAAUUGACGG
This 411-nucleotide ribosomal RNA is filed under the name uncultured bacterium. RNAcentral's name for it is "bacterial SSU rRNA". It matches the Rfam family "Bacterial small subunit ribosomal RNA", at positions 505 to 916 of the family's 1533-position model. The record is from RNAcentral.